Molecule: ribosomal RNA, 1687 nt
Filed under: Pseudogobius taijiangensis (Taijiang fat-nose goby)
Lineage: Eukaryota; Metazoa; Chordata; Actinopteri; Gobiiformes; Gobiidae
Description: 16S ribosomal RNA
Rfam family: Bacterial large subunit ribosomal RNA
Source: RNAcentral
CUACUGUUCUUAACAGCUAGCCCCUCCCCCCAAAAACAACAACCAACAUUAAUAACCCCUUAUUUCCUAAAAGUACAUAAACAAAUCAUUUUACCCCCUUAGUAUGGGCGACAGAAAAGGACCAAGGCGCAAUAGAAAAAGUACCGCAAGGGAAAGCUGAAAGAGAAAUGAAACAACCCAGUAAAGAUUAAUAAAGCAGAGACAUAACCUCGUACCUUUUGCAUCAUGACUUAGCUAGUCCCCCUCAAGCAAAGUGCCCUUUAGUUUGAAGCCCCGAAACUGAGCGAGCUACUCCAAGGCAGCCUAUUUAGGGCAAACCCGUCUCUGUAGCAAAAGAGUGGGAAGAUCUUUGAGUAGAGGUGACAGACCUACCGAGCCCAGUUAUAGCUGGUUGCCUAUAAAAUGAAUAGAAGUUCAGCCUUUAAACUUCUUUUAUCCACAAUGUUUUUACUAUACGUGAAACCGAGAAGCUUAAAGAGUUAUUCAAAGGGGGAACAGCCCCUAUGAAAAAAGAUACAACUUUAGUGGCAGGCUAAAGAUCAUAACCGCACAAGGAAUUAUAUUUUAGUGGGCCUAAAAGCAGCCACCCAUAAAGAAAGCGUUAAAGCUCAAAUAUAAAAACCCCAUAAUUUCGACCACACCAUCUUAAGCCACCAUAGCAAUAAUAGGCCUUUUCAUGUUAACAUGAAAGAGAAACUGCUAUUAUGAGUAAUAAGAGGACUGCUCCUCUCCAUAACAUCUGUGUAUAUCAGAACGAACCCCCACUGAAAAUUAACGCUCCCAACUCCAACGAGGGCAUUGGGUUACCCCAGCAUACACUAGAAAGCCCCCCAAAAACAAGCGUUAACCCUACACAGGAGUGUUUUAGGAAAGACUAAAAGAAAAAGAAGGAACUCGGCAAACACUGGCCUCGCCUGUUUACCAAAAACAUCGCCUCUUGCACAAUAAACUAAAGUAUAAGAGGUCCCGCCUGCCCUGUGACACAAUAGUUUAACGGCCGCGGUAUUUUGACCGUGCGAAGGUAGCGUAAUCACUUGUCUUUUAAAUGGAGACCUGUAUGAAUGGCAUAACGAGGGCUAAGCUGUCUCCUUUUUCUAGUCAAUGAAAUUGAUCUUCCCGUGCAGAAGCGGGAAUACACACAUAAGACGAGAAGACCCUAUGGAGCUUAAAACACAAGGCAGAUCACGUAAAACCACCCAUAUUAAAGGAGAUAACAAAAUGAAUCCUGCCCUUAUGUUUUUGGUUGGGGCGACCGCGGGGCAACAAAAAUCCCCCACGUGGAAUGGAGGACUUCUCCCUAAAACAAGAGCCACAGCUCAAACAAGCAGAACAUCUGACCAACAAGAUCCGGCUCAUAGGCCGAUCAACGGACCGAGUUACCCUAGGGAUAACAGCGCAAUCCCCUUUUAGAGCCCAUAUCGACAAGGGGGUUUACGACCUCGAUGUUGGAUCAGGACAUCCUAAUGGUGCAGCCGCUAUUAAGGGUUCGUUUGUUCAACGAUUAAAGUCCUACGUGAUCUGAGUUCAGACCGGAGAAAUCCAGGUCAGUUUCUAUCUAUGAGUGCUCUUUUCUAGUACGAAAGGACCGAAAAGAGGGGGCCCAUGCUUUAGGUAUGCCCCACCCUUACCUGGUGAAGACAACUAAAGCAGGUAAAAGGACAACCCAUCCAGCCUAAGAAAAAGGCAU